CGUCGCCAACCCCACGGCCGCACUGCUGGCGGCGUGCAUGAUGCUGGACCACCUGCGGUGGGCGGGGCUACGGGGAGGGGGCGGGGCUACGGGGAGGGGGCGGGGCUUAAGGCUAGGGGGCGGGGAUAAGGGGGUGGGGGCGGGGUCACGGGGAGGGGCGGGGCUAAGGGGGAAGGGGCAGGGUGUAAGGGAGAUGAUGCUGGACCACCUCUGGUGGGCGGGGCUAUGGGGAGGGGGCGGGGCUAAGGGGAUGGGGCGGGGCUACGGGGGAGGGGCCUAGGAAAGGGGUGGGGCAAAGGCGGGAGGUGGGUGGGGCCUGGGGUGGGUGUGGCCUCAGCCCUGGGGAAGGUCCAAGAGCACUGGGAGGGAGCCAAGGGGCGGGGCUUAUUCCUGUGGGCGUGGCUUACUCAAUGUGGGCGUGGCCUCCCGCUGCCCCUCCCCCAGGCUGCACAACCACGCCUCCACCAUCCGCCAGGCCGUCCUCGCCUCAUUGGACGACCCCCGGACACACACGCCCGACAUCGGGGGACAGGGCACGACCUCGGGGGCGGUGCAGAGCAUCCUGUCCCACCUCGGCCGCCCCUAGGGGCGUGGCCUCCGCUGGGAGGGGCCACCGAGGGCGUGGCCUCGAGGAGGCGUGGCCUCCCGGAGUGGGAGGGGCCGCUCAUUAAUAAAUUACCCCCAAUCAGCCCCGCCUCCAGCUGUGCCACGCCUUUAUUCACACACACACAAUUAAAAGGGGGCGGGGCCUAUUGGGGGCGGGGCCUCCCGGAGGGGGAGGAGCCACUUGCCCCACCCCAAUAAGCCCCGCCCCCAGCCGUGCCACAGCUUCAUUCACACACACACAGAGGGGGCGGAGCCUGUUAAUGGGCGUGGCCCCGAGGGGCGUGGCCUAUUAGGGGGUAGCCAAUGGGAGGAGGAGCUUUAAGCCCCGCCCCUUUACAACCCACCCCGAUAAGCCCCGCCCCCGCCUCACCACCCCUCCAUUCACCCCCAUGGUGCUGGGUAGGGGCAGAGCCCGUUG
Molecule: long non-coding RNA, 1024 nt
Filed under: Anas platyrhynchos platyrhynchos (common mallard)
Lineage: Eukaryota; Metazoa; Chordata; Aves; Anseriformes; Anatidae
Description: lncRNA (ENSAPLG00000022888.1)
Source: RNAcentral